This is a long non-coding RNA of Anguilla anguilla (European eel), 589 nucleotides long. RefSeq lists it as uncharacterized. The record is from RefSeq and is a predicted model, not a curated record. Lineage: Eukaryota; Metazoa; Chordata; Actinopteri; Anguilliformes; Anguillidae. The transcript has 4 exons.
GGGUUUCUGAGGAAGGGAUCACACGUCCACUGCGCUCUCUACUCUAAGUCCUUUUAAUGCUUGCACGUUUACAUCCUUCCUCUUCUCGUCCAUUCCUUCUAUUCAGACAUUCCUUUAGGUCAACAGGGGAAUUUACAUCUGAAAAGUAACAUGCAUGGGAAGAGGGUGCUGUCCGAUAACGGCGUCAGGGUGUGCCACGAGCGCUCCACGGGCACCGCCGACACGGGCACACUGGAGACAGCAUGGGGAGAAACGGGUGCAGAUCACUAUUGUCAUCACUCCAUUGGCCUUCCUCCGCCUUCUCGCCCUCUUCCUCAACAGCUGAUGAAACAUCAUCUGACUUCCACAGCAAAUCCAGACAGUGAAUGUCCAUCGACGAGGCCUCCUGUCAAGAGAAAACACACACUGGCUUCACACGUGAGCGGGAUGGAUAUAGGGAAAUUAACUUGAGACUAGGUGUCCAUGGAUACAUUUAAGAACAUGCUGAGGACUGUACUUGGCAUCUUCGCAUGGCACAGUAUUAAAGUAAAAUAAUAAUGUUAAAUAUAAGGAAUACAGUUUGAUGUACAUUCAGUAAAAAUGUUUCUGU